This is a long non-coding RNA of Impatiens glandulifera, 428 nucleotides long. RefSeq lists it as uncharacterized. Lineage: Eukaryota; Viridiplantae; Streptophyta; Magnoliopsida; Ericales; Balsaminaceae. The transcript is spliced from 2 exons. The record is from RefSeq and is a predicted model, not a curated record.
CCAAACUCAAUCAACACUACUAAUUAAUUAAUUAAGAAAGAAAUUAAGCCAUGUCUAACGAUUGCCAAGGUAAGAGUGUUUGGCCAGAAUUAGUUGGAGAAAAUGGAGAUGUAGCAGCAGCAAUAAUAGAGAGGGAGAAUCCUUUGGUUAACACUAUCGUCUUGCUCGAGGGCUCGGAGACCACAAAGGAUUUCAGGUGCGACCGAGUCUGGGUAUUUGUCAAUGAAUCCAACAUAGUUGUUGAAGUGCCCAGAAUCACUUAAUUAUAUUUAUAUAUCAAUAAUUCAUGUUGUAAGUUAUGUCUUAAUUUACAUAUCAAUAAUGUUGUUCAUGUUUGUAAGUUCAAAUGAGCUUUAAUUAGCUCAUUAUUAUUAUAUAAUCAAAUAAAGUCAGGCCAAGUCUUUGGUCUGAUCAUCUUCUUAUUAUUA